AACGAACGCUGGCGGCAUGCCUAACACAUGCAAGUCGAACGAGACCUUCGGGUCUAGUGGCGAACGGGUGCGUAACGCGUGGGAACCUGCCCUUAGGUUCGGAAUAACUCCCCGAAAGGGGUGCUAAUACCGGAUAAUGUCUUCGGACCAAAGAUUUAUCGCCUUGGGAUGGGCCCGCGUUGGAUUAGCUAGUUGGUAGGGUAAAAGCCUACCAAGGCGACGAUCCAUAGCUGGUCUGAGAGGAUGAUCAGCCACACUGGGACUGAGACACGGCCCAGACUCCUACGGGAGGAAGCAGUGGGGAAUAUUGGACGAUGGGCGAGAGCCUGAGCCAGCAAUGCCGCGUGAGUGAUGAAGGCGUUAGGGUUGUAAAGCUCUUUUACCCGGGAUGAUAAUGACAGUACCGGGAGAAUAAGCGCCGGCUAACUCCGUG
RNAcentral lists this ribosomal RNA (433 nucleotides) under uncultured bacterium. Its description in RNAcentral is "partial 16S ribosomal RNA". It matches the Rfam family "Bacterial small subunit ribosomal RNA", at positions 29 to 507 of the family's 1533-position model. The record is from RNAcentral.